GCCAGCGUAGCUCAGCGGUAGAGCGGUUGAUUUGUAAUCAGCUGGUCGGGGGUUCAAUUCCCUCCGCUGGCUCCA
RNAcentral lists this transfer RNA (75 nucleotides) under Lentisphaeria bacterium. RNAcentral's name for it is "tRNA-Thr". It matches the Rfam family "tRNA". Rfam says of the family: Transfer RNA (tRNA) molecules are approximately 80 nucleotides in length. Their secondary structure includes four short double-helical elements and three loops (D, anti-codon, and T loops). The record is from RNAcentral. Lineage: Bacteria; Pseudomonadati; Lentisphaerota; Lentisphaeria.